CCGGUUUUGGUUCGAAGCUCUAUGCACUAUUAACCUGUUUGUUUGGACUGAGUUUCUGAUCAGAAUCAGAAUCGGGCAGAGGAGUCCACACGGUUUCUUACCCGAAAGUAUAAUUAUUAAAAGAAUAAUACUUGCCAAACGAAAGAACGUGUAUGACAUUUUCUCAAGACAUUCUUGUAAGACAAAUGGAGAAUGCAUAGUACAGAACAUGAACAGAGAAAACAGCGACGUACGACCGAAAAAAAACACAAAAGAAAAUGGCUUCAAUGGCGACCCAUUUCACGGCCACCCUUUUUCUCCUUCCUAUAGGGCUGAGACGCCUCUACUGCUCCACCUCUCAUUUCCUCAAGAACCCAUCUCUUUUCAGAUCCAAAAGUUGGUAUCUUUCUGAUCCUAAAUGGAAAAAUCUUGAUUUAUUUAUCCUUACAAUAGCUCUCCCAGUUGCUUCUUUCUCUGAAGUUUUCAUUUUCUUGACAUUUAAUGGUCGCCCAACUUACCAUUUCUCGUUCUUGCAACAAGCUUUGGUUCUUUUUCUUUACUGGGUUUUAACAAUUUUGUUUCUUUUACAUGGUAACGUUGACCCAUUACUUGUUAAUGAUAGUUUCUUGUUUGUAUGUUCUGGGAUUGUUUUCUUUUUGGAGAAUUUAGUAAUUGGGAAAGGGAUUUCUGGUCUUGUCAGUGAGGUUGUUUAUCGUUUGUGUGGUGAUUUGACUAUCAUUUGUGGUUGUUGUUGUCUGUACUUGGCUAUUAAGCCUAGUGCUUUUUUUAUCGAGUUUUGUUUGUGUUGUGGGUUGGUUCUUAAAGGGACUUGGUUUUUACAAGCUGGAUUGUGUUUGUAUACUGAUGUUUUUGCUUUUAAAGGGUGUCAUAAGAUAACGGUUUUGAUGGAUAAUGAAAAUGCUGUAUUAAAGUGCGAUCUUGAAGAGGAUGGAUUAAGGGGCGUGGCAUUGGUUAAUUUGUUGUUUAUUGGGCAUGCCAUUGGGGUCUUGCUUGUAAGCUUGGGGAUGUUUGCUAUAUUAUCAAGUCAUCGGAAUUCAAGGCAUGGUGAGACAAGUGGUCCAUUGCUGGCAGGGCUUGAAUCUGAUAGUACUUUGAUGCGCACGCCUCCUGAAUUUGAGCUGGAAUGAAGUGUAUGGCCUUUUUGCCUUUCUUUUAUCUCCGUUGUAUUUAUGAUACACAAUUUUGCUUUCAAGUUUAACUAUUUUUAUUCUAGAAGGUUUGCAUUCACAAAGAAUAUUGUUAAGUAGGUUAGCUGCAAGUUUUGGAAAUAUUACAUGAGGUUAAUGAAUAAUCCCACUAGUGUUCCUAGCUUCACAUUGUUAUUUGUCUAAGCUUAUGAUGCAAAUGCCACAAAGAAGUCUGGUGCAAUUUACAAUUUGCGCAAAGUCCUCAUAUCCAUUUGGCUUAAUAUGAUAUUAAUGUUUUACAACAGAACCAAAUGAAGUUUUCUGAAUCUCUUUCUUUUUUUCGUUUCUUGUUCUAACUUCUAAAAGAAGGAGAUAUGGUUCAGAAGUUCUCUAAUAAUGUUUUAUUAAAAGAAAAGAUUGUCCAUAAUUUUAAUACUGCCUCUGAUAGAGUGCCGUCCCUUGAAGCAGUUUGAGCUCAACUCAUUUAUUAUUGUACUUGUCUUGAGAGGUUUCAUAAAGGAAAUGAAUGCAAUGCCACUUACAUGCAGGAGCCAGGAAAUAAUUUGUGAACAUGUUGGUAUUUGCUGAUAUCAACGUUAAAAAAGAAAAACAUAAAUCACAGAUUUGACAUCUAAAGAUUUGAAUUUUCAGUUCUUAGCUCAAAUUUUACAGCCAAGGAUUUUGGAGUGCAGAAGAGAGAAAAGAGAUGCGCGUUACCCUAAUUUUAGAGUGUCUAAUAAUCUAAUAUCAAAAAACCAUGGUUCAUAUGAUGGCAUUUGUUAACAUGGGCACAUAUAGCUUUACGAGGUCACAUAUGGAAAACACAUAUGGAGCAUUCAGAAAAUGAAGGGAAAUGGAUAUCUCUUGAAGAUUUUGGGAUCCUCUUGGUUCAUUUCACAGUUUAUAUUAGUCAAAUUCCUUGGUUCCCUUUGUUUGAAUACGACGGAUGGCUUCAUUUUAUAGUUAUAAAGAGAGAAUGUUGUUAGAAUCUAAGAAGUUAAAUGGAUGACAUUAGCCACUGAUUCAUUAGGCUUCAGGAGAUUGAACUGCAGUUUAUUACUUUUUGAUAUUCGACUCCCACAAAAUUUAGUAGAUCUUAGUUCCCCGGUGACUAAGAUUUCACCUGAUAGCUAGGAUGUAAAGUUUUACCUUAUAGUUAUCUUGUAGAGGAUUUUUUGGCUACUGGGUUGCACCCCCUUGGUCUCCUUGGAUAUUAGCAAGACGAAUCAUCUCUCAUUGAGGUUAUAGUUCAUAAGUGGAGAACUGCAAAAUCUUUGUAUCAUCUUGCUGGGUUUUUAAAUUCUUUCAUCCCAUUAUGGUUCAAUUUAAAGGCUCUUUGAAGCAAUGCAAGUCUGCAAGGCAUUCAAUUCUCAGACUUACAUAGCACUAGAGGCAGCAGGUAUGUAAGAUCCUUUCUAGUAAAUGUCAUAACAUAGAAAAGUCAUGCUUAUUUAUUCUGCUAUUUCCUUUUUGUGCAUUAAUUGAUAUUUGCCAUAAACUUCUUAGCAUGUAAUAGUUAUCUGUAUGGUUAAUUAAUACUUUAAUAUGCUUGCUCUGAUGCUUCUAAAAUCGCUUUGCUAUAAUCCAAGUAGACUUGAAUAACAUAAGAGUUCAGAAUAUACUGCUAUGAGAAAAGGCUUUUACUAACAGUAGUGAAAAAAUAAAAUCCCACAUGUGAUACAGAAUUACAUAUCGUGAUUGCCAAUAAAAAUAUUCAAUAUGGGAUGUGAAUUAAUCUAGUUUAGUAUAUCCGAGUGGAGAAGAACAUUUUGGCAUUGUCAACCAACGUCUCCGAAAACGCCUAAAUCCAUGGAUUUUAAUUCGAAAACGAAUUUGCUUGAUCUUUCUGGUCAGCUCAGCACAUCUCCGUUUAAGCAUUACAGUUUUUGGAAAACUGACCAGUUUUUUAACAUAUUUACAACCUGCACUUGCUGCGAGGAAAACUAAAUAUGAAUAGAAUCAAAACAUAAAAUAAAUCUUUUUUUGCUUGUAAAGGUUAUGCUGAUGAGACUAAUCAGCAAAUUAGUUAUUAAUGUAAAAGUCCUACUUCAAUGAGUUCUCUUAUCCAAGUAUUUCUCAGCUCUGCAUAUAAUUCAGGAACACCCACUGGCGAAGGCAGGGAAUGAGGGGGACUAUGGCCCCCGUAAGUGGGAUAAAUUCUAAAAGUGGGUAUAUUGAUGUAUGUAUAUAUAUUUUAAAAUUUAGUUUUGUUGUGAAACUUUGGCCCCUUUAAAUUUAUUUCUGGCUCCACUAAUGGGAACACCCUUUGGUGCCUUUGACAGAAGAUAGUAUGUGAUUUGUCUUUCUUGAACUUAUUGUCUAAGUUGUCUUUACAAACAUCAAUCAGCUGAGACAUACCUUUAACCUUUGUACCAUCCUCAUUUUGUUCCGAAUUUCCCUUUUGCAGGCCCUGCAAGUUGCAAUAAAAGAAUCAGUCUUGUUGCUUUCUUAGCUCAGUCUCUUGUUGACGGUCGCUGAAGGAAAAGAACUCAAACGUGGAAGGGAAAAUUAAAUUUUGUCAUUUAUUGUCAAAGGAAAGACGUAUAGUCGUUGAAUUUAGUAUAUGCAGUUUGUAAAUUUGUAUGUAAAUUAUGAUUAGCCAUCAUGUCAUUAUACUCUGUUCAUGAUAUUAUUUUUCAGACUUAUUGGUCAUACUGCUUAAACCAUGCUCUGUGUGAUUUUAAGUUCAGGAUAGGGAAACAGGAUACCAAAAGAAACAAACCCUCCAUUGGUGCUUAAAUCUUCUAAAGUCUCUCCUCUCAGUUCUGGUGGAGGAAUAGGGGACCAAGUACAUGGCGGUGCUUUAGCCCAUUUUUCUGAACUUCCAACAUCCAUGAGUUCCUAUUGAAUUUGAAGAAGGAAAGGAGAUAAAAUGAUAAGAUACUGUCAUGUCCAAGUUAACCAAGAAGAGAUAUAGGGCUAAGAGAAUGAGGAUAUCUGCAGUAUAACAAACCUGAAAAAAGGCUGUCGCAAUAAUCACAUCUGAAGGUUCUUUAAAGCGCAUUGGAAAUACUGCAGUGAUUUUUUGUGUCUGUCCAGCACAUUAAUUUACUUUAGCUUUAGACAAUCUUGUUUUGGAUAAAAUGCAUAGGAAUCUUUAUGUAUUAGAAUUUGGAAGAAACCCUAUUGCCAAUCCUGAAAGGCGAGUGCAAUAUAUUUUGAAUCUUUGACUAUA
RNA transcript from Ricinus communis (castor bean), 4302 nucleotides. RefSeq lists it as uncharacterized. The transcript is spliced from 2 exons. NCBI's taxonomy places the organism in Eukaryota, Viridiplantae, Streptophyta, Magnoliopsida, Malpighiales, Euphorbiaceae. The record is from RefSeq and is a predicted model, not a curated record.